CGAUGAGCUCCAGGUUUUGGAUGGAAUUCCCGAUCUCCUCCCCGGUGAGACAAGCGAUGCCGCUCCUGGAGUACGAGUCCUGGAGCUGCAGCACAGGGAAAAGCCAGGAGUUUUCAUCCAGGUGUUUGCAGCUGUGCUUCUCCUGUGGAGCUGGAACCUCACAGAAAGGUGCUUGCGAGCCAAUAACUGGUGCCAGGAGCUCCUUCCCAGUGCUGCCAGUGCUUCUACACCCUGGUCAUGACAUGAUUAUUGCCACAGUACAUGGACAUCAGGAAAGUCAUUGUGGCACUUUGGACUCCUUCUGCUUUAUCAGGGUUCAUAAAUUCCUAAGAAUGAAAUUUCAUCUGAGAGAGUCGUGUGAAGAAUCAGUUCAAAAGUGGCAAGGUAAGUAGAAUCAGUUCAAAAGUGGCCAGGUAAGUAGAAUCAGAUCAAAAGUGGCCAGGUAAGUAGAAUCAGAUCAAAAGUGGCAAGCUAACUAGAAUCAGUGCAAAAGUGGCAAGCUAACUUGGAUGACGACUCCUGCCUGCUGAAGGAAGUUUUUGUGGCUAUUCAUUCUAGCUGUUUAGGGAGGUCCUAUCUCAUUUGAGGGAGUUUCCUUUCAAAAAGAAUAGAAACAAAAGUGAAAGAGAGCCAGGGCACUACAGAGCACUCUGGUCACAAUCAGGACUUGGUUUGGAUUCUGUGUUUUUUCGGCCUCUUCAUGGCUUUCUCUUGUUAACAGAAUUAUUUUGUAGGUUAACGUACCAACUGAGGAAAGAUUUUUUCAAGACCCAUAUAUUCAUUUUGUUGCCCUCUAUCAGGCAUGAUCUGUGUCCCCCUGACCAAUCAUUUUAAAUCCUCCAUGGGUAUUUCUGAUUUAAUACUUAUUUAAUUAGUGCCCGUCUUGCAAGGCAAAAUAAAUGAAGUUUGAUUUGAAAAGAGCAAUGGGAAGAGCACACUCAAAUCCAUCUCUUCAAAAAAUUAUGAGUUCACUAUCUUUCUGAAGAUUUAAGAUCUGAAAAUUUCAUUAUACAAUGACUAACAGUUUUUUUCCACACUGACAAAGGACAUUCCAAAAGUGAAACUCCAACCAUUUCUAGCAUUGAAUGCAUUGGAAAAUCUUUGCUACUUUCAAUGCUCACUUCCAAAUAUAAUUUUUGUCUCUAAGAAGUGUAAAUUUAUACUGAAAAUAAUUUUUUUUAAAGGUUCCAAGAGUGGAAAAUGAGUGUUUUGAAAUUUUGCCACAGUAAAGCUGGGGCACUGACACCAGUGGGAAGGAAGGGUGUUAACAUGCUUUUCAACAGAACCAAGUCAUGUGUGUUUGUGUAGUGCUAGACCAGGGCAUCUCCCCAACAAAACCUCUGAUUCUUCCUGGCUCCUUCAUCCUGUUAAAGCUUACUCAGUGAGCCAUUUAAUUAGAGAUAAACCUUAAUCUGUUCUGUGGACUUAGGAUGUGUCACUUGGCAUGUCAAGGAAACGCCUGGCAGGGGACCUGCACACUUGUACCCAGCAGUGUGACCAGCAGGAAUGUAAAAUGGCUCUGGAAAUGUGUAAAAAUGAAGGAAGAGUGACUUGAAAAAGUCCUUCAGUUCUCAUUCUUCAGUGAUUGCAGGGAUGGGGGUGAUGAAGAUGUUUUCAGAGAGGAUGUUUUCCAAGGCAGACAAAGCAGAGCUGACUUUCUGGUUCAUUGCAGUCUCAGCUCUGGAGGGAGCUGGGAGGAGAUCCAUAACACAUCCAUCUGCCUCCACAUCAUUUCAGAGAGGAAGAAUUGUCCCUGGCACACAGCAAAGCCUUGCUAUGCAAUCAACUUAAGCCUUGAAGCAUGAAAUUUCAUUUUCUUUACCAUUGGCUUCUUCUCAGCAAAACAUCUGUCACACACCUGUCCAUCUGGGCUACAAGACUGGACUGUCCAGAGGCUUGAGAGUGGGAAACACAGGUGUCUCCUCAGACCAGAGUGCACAGGAUUCAGGAAUCCCUUUCACUUUGGAUGAGGAUUCCAGGUGGACUUUGAGGGUUGUUGGAUCUUUCUACAGCUGGAAACACAAGCCCCUCAAAUUGUGCACUCUCCUUGGUGGAGCCACAGUUUCUGAACUGGGAAAAGGAGACACAACCAGGUCCUUGCAGGGAGGGAGAGGAGGCACCAAGGGGAAGGAAUGAGAAGCAGACUGCUUAAAAACCCUACUAAUCAGAUAAUCCUUGAACUUGGUAUUACUCCAGACCUGCAGUCUCCAUAUCUGUAUGGAUGUAGAGGUCUAUUCUAUUCCAUGAAUGAAUGCACACUCCUACCUAAACGUGCACACAGACAUUUAAAUAUCUACCUGUGCUAUUAGAUUUCAUAUACAGAUUUCAUUUUUCUCUGAAGACUACAUUAAUUGGAAUGAACAUUGCUGUUUGUAUAAGGGAAGAAAAGGAAGAUGUCACCAUGCUGGAAAGCCUCACCUGACUUUUCUUGGAAAAAGGCUUUGUAUUCUGUGAAAGAUACAGGAACCUGCCAGACAAAAUGGAAAACUCCCCACAUUAGGAUAUUUCAAAAGCAAUGCUGCAAUGAUCAAUAAAUGAAAGAGCAGGGGCAGAAAAUGGAUUGCAGGUCAGAAAAAAAAGAAUGUGAAAGGAAGGCAAACAGGAAUAAAAAAAGGAACCUGGACUUUUGCUGGCUAAACCAAAUCUCAAACAUACACAUAACCUAUAGACACAUAAAAAUGUAUACAUCAGAAUGGAGAAUGUGAGUUCUGCUGUUUAUCUUGAAGAAGAACACCAGCAGCACUGCAGGUUUGUCCACUCUUCAGCACCAGCAGAUGUGGUCACCAUUAAUCAUUUGGCAGAAAAGAAGUAUAGGAGGUGACCCUCACAGCCCACAGACACACACAAGUCUCUUGCCUUGAAAACAAUCAAAAAUCAGAAAUACAAAACCAAUGGUCCUGGGAAAAAUAAAAUAAAUCACAAGUAUAUUUCACUUUAUUUAUUUGUUCUUCAUUUUGAUAGCACAUCUCAAAUUACACUUGGUAAUGAGAUCUUACGAAUCUUUCCCCUGCUCUGGGACAAAAAGCAAAAACCACUCAUGCAUAAGGUAUUGAAUGCAUUCACAACAAGUAUGUUGUAUGUUGGGCUUUUGAACAUCAUAAAUAUGAGAACAUUAAACCAACUGUCAUUGGUAUUUUUUAACAAUAUAGUUGUUAAGAUCAUAGCAGCUUAAAAAGUUUAACUCAAGUUUACCUGCUUCCAAUAUUUUUAUUUUAAGUUUCUACUACAAUUUGGUAAGAGAUUAAAAAAUAUAGAGGCCCAAAUACUACAAAAUAAUGCUUUAAAGUAUUUCUAUUUAGUUUGUAAGUGUUAAAACUCACAAUGGCCUUUCUGCUUUGACUAGGAACGCAGUUCUGAAAUUACUUAGAUGAAGGUUAAGAAAUUCAACUUAUUUGUGAUUUUUAUGCAUCAUGAAACCUCUUGAAAGAGGCAUGGGCUUCCAGAAAUGUUGAACACCCAUCCUUUAAGAGGUCCUCAGCCAAAGAGACAGAAUCUCCAUCUAUUCCUGCAAAUAUUAGCCAAAAUACUGGGGACUCACUAAUAUAGUUCUCAGGUCCAUGAAAGCAGGAUAAGAAUGAGUACAGAUUCUGUUAUGCAAGUUGAUUUUGCUAUUUUGCCUUUUUUUUUUUCCUUAAAGCUGUCUUCUGAAUGCCUUGAUAGCCAUCAGGAACAAGACAUUUUUGCAAUAGAAGGAUAGAGUCUAAUUGUAGAAGGGGAAGAAAAGCUGCCUACAAAAGCCAAGAUCAUGAUAAGAAAACAAAUUUACUGAACAUCAUCUCUGAAAAGACUCUACCAUGCACAGGUGAAAUACUGCUACAAACACUUGCUCUGAUCCUACAUCAUGCCUUAAACUGCUUUGUGAAAUAACCAAGGGAUGAAGGUGCAAGAUGAACCCAAGGAAACACCUGGGGAUGUAUGAAAACACAGGAACAAAUCCAGGUGUUGUAACACGGAUUAAUCUUAAUCCCUUGCUACCAGGCAUCUGCUUUCUGUAACCCCGAGUCAGUUCUAGGAGCUUGUAGCAACACAGCUGGAAACAACCCUAAAUUUCAAAUUUGGGACAUGGGGACUGUGUGCAAAGGAGAAAAAAGCACAGGAGGAGGAAAGCUGGGCUGGGACUAACUCAGUUCAAGGGUUACACUGAAUUUAAAAAGACAGCUCUCUGUCUUUUUAAAACUGGAACUCAGACCUCUUUUUUUUGCAUGUUGUAGGAUCCCUCAGGGAUCUCUGCAGCUCUCAGGUAUUAAACCACAUGGCUGCAAGAUCAAAGUAGUCCAGAGCUUUGACAGAAGUAGUUAACAGUGUGCAUCACAUCCACGUGGUGCUGAGAUCUCGGCCAUCGCACCAGGCUGCUGACGGCUUCGUAAACACGUUCACUCCAGUUAUAAACUUACUUAUUUCUUGUGCCAAGACUUCAAUGUGCUUCAGUGCAUGAAGGAAAUUUACAACCCACUCCAGGAAUAUAUAUAUAUAUGUACAUAUAUUCCAGCUCUCCCUUUCAAUUCAGUUUAAAAAAAAAAAACAGCAGCAAUUAUAUUUUAGAUUCGUAACAGAUAUGUAUAACUUAGCUAUAAACAAAUGCUGAGCUAAAGCUUUGCAGAAAGCUCUCAGGAAAGCGAAUUAGUGUAAGAUUUUUAGGAAUAUUAACCAUUUUCUUCCAGUACCACAGUUAUACUAUGAUAUAUAAUCAUAGUAUGUCUACAUAUUAUACUAAUGACAGUGAGUAGAUAUAAAUUGUAUCUUUUCUGACAUGGGUUUACUCUUAAAAUGGGAAAUACAAAAAGCAGCCUGUUGUUAUAACUCAGUAUAGUGAUUUUUUUUUUUUCCUACUAUUUUAGUCAUAGUUUAAGGUCAGGUAAAUGUAGUCUCCAUACAAAGGGAAAGGACUCUGAGGCAGAUUAGUAACUUGUCUUUUGAAUAGAUAUAACUUUGGUUGCUGUCUAUUCAAAGCAUAGAAUCUAUGAAGUUGUGCUUAUGGGGAAAAGGAGGAAAGGGUUUAUAUCCAGAUAAAACGUCUGAAUUCCUCUGCAGUGUUAAUUGGGUUUCUUGAUCAAAAUUUAUUCUGAUUCAGAUUGUCACUUGGUUGGUCUAAUUCCACCAAGUCUUUGUACAUGCUAAAUGGAAGAACAAUCUGGGCCACUGCUGAAAAAGCUUUGCCUUGUGAUCUCUGUGUGAAGUAUGCUGGGAAUGAGUUUUGGCCUGCAUGACUGAGCUGACAUCCAGGCCUUGUCUCAUUAAUGGCUUUUCUUAAUACACACAACCAUGUUAAUAACGUGGUAUUUCCAGGAAGCAAUGAUUCAGCAAAGCCAUUCUCCUAUUUAAUUUAAAUCUCAGUGAAAGGGGACUGCUCUGUAUGUAUUCUAAAUGUCAGAAGGCAGUUUGAUCUACCAGAACCUGAUGGGAUUUUUUGAAGAACUUUUCAGAAUCCUGCUAUAAGGAAUACUUUAAUGAAAUAGCCUUUGUCAUGAUCUCCAAGGGCUAAGAAGCCUCACCUUAGGGUUCCUGAACCAGGACAAAGGGGAGCAAACUGCUCAGCAGGACCCAAGCCCAGCAGCAUCCCUGAUGUGGGGACAGGCUGCUCUGAGCUAGCUCUUGGAGAAAGAUGGGAAGUCAAAAGCAGAUUGGAGCUGCUGAGUGCCUGCAGUCACAUUCCCAUCCAUGAACUACACCCACGCCAGAGAAUUCAGCUUCACAGCUCCAUUGUGAGUAGGAAAUUACUGCCUCCCUUGCAGAAGUGGGGUGUAAGGAGAUGACCUUGUUCUCCUGGGGACCCACAGGAAGUCUGUGGUAAAACUGAGGAUGAAUUUUAUUUCCCACUUUCUCUGUGCCUACGGACUUUUGACACCACCUUCAUUUCCGCAAGCUGUGAGCAGCCUGGACAAUAGACAGUCACAAAGUGGUUUCUCUCCGGCCCUGCCUGUCUGAACUUUACAGACUGGCUCAAACUGCACAGAUUUGUUGCCCAGUAGCGAGAUCAUCUUACCUAGAGCAGUCUACAAGACAGACAAAGCUCAGCUGCAAAGCUCAGAAUUAAAUCUUCUGUAUAGACUGGAGCCCACUUCUAUUCGCUUGCUUUCCUCCUUUCAUGAAGCAGGAAAUACAAUAAAAACUACAAACACAAAAGAAAAGUCAAUGAACAAAAACUUCUACUAUUAAUUACAAACAUUAGUGCAAACCACACAGCAGACUAUUUGUAGUAAGGUCAGUAUUUUCUGUAAGGUCAUACAACUGAGGCUUUAAACACAGGUGAAGUCACAUUCUUUAGCCAAAUAAGUAGUCAGCUUUGAAGGUCACUCACACAGGAAACCUGGAUUCUGCUGCUACACAUCAUAUUUUAUCUUUGUGUGUAUGCUAUCACACAUUUUAUUGAAAAUAUAUUUAGUCCUGUACCUUUUAAAAAUAUAUUUAUUAAAAGGUGGUAAAGACCAAAUUCCAAAGCUGAAUUACAGGUUUGGCUAAGAGACUCAUCUAGCAUCGUUUUAACUGCCUAGAAAAGCUUUUUCAAAAAAUAUUUUUAAAAAUUUAAAUGAGCUGUUUGUCUAUGGCAAAAAGCCAACACCUAAAUCCAUGCUUGUCAUUCAAAUUCAUGGCCCUGCUGCCCAAGGUUCUCACUGUGACAUCAGAUGCUUAACACUGCUGUAAACUAGCUCACGUUUUUUACAUAUUCAGAAGUAGAUGUAGAUCUUAGGAUUUAUCUCACAUCACUUCAAAGCCAGGGCCUUUGUACCUAAUUAAGAGUCAAAGCUUCAAAGUUGCAGCCAGGCAAGAAUCCUGCAGUAAUCCUGAUCUCCCUGCUCAACACGUAUUUAUGUUUGGCAGUAGUCAUCUGGGACAAAGUAGAAAAAAGACUGGUUUGGAAAAAAAAUACUUCUCAAAAUUCUUUACUGGGCAAGGCCAAUGGAGCUAGAAAAUGCUGCAGUUAGUGGUUUUCAGCCGAACAGUGAAGUCAGAAUUCAGAAAAAGUGCACUUUUUGAUGUUUGCUCUUCCUCCAGAACAGACACCGCAGCCAUGCGCCCACCCUUCACAGGUUCUCAUCCAGCCACUUGAUGUAGCUGUUCCUGGUCUGCACGCCGGCCGAGAAAUCCGUGGGCCACACGGUGAAGAUCAUGCAGCCGUGGAAGCAGUCGUGGAAGUGGUCGAGGGUGACGGGCACGCCGGCGCGCUCCAGGCGCGCGGCGUACAUGGCGCCGUCGUCGCGCAGCACGUCGUUCUCGCAGAUCAGCAUGUAGGUGCGCGGCUGCCGCGCCAGCGUGGCGUCGUCCGCCAGCAGCGGCAUCGCCCGCACGUCCAGCAGCGCCGGCAGCCGCUCCACGAUGGCCUCCGUGCCCGUGCUCUGCACCACGGGCUUGUAGUUCUUCUUGAAGGAGGGAGGCAGCAGCGAGGUCCAGUUGAGGCGCGCGCGGAAGGAGAGCGCCCGGCCCACGUUGAGCGCGGUGUGGUUGUUGAUGAGCAGCUCGUGAGCCAGGUCGUAGUUGCCGUUGAUGUAAUCGAUCCAGUAGUUGAUCAUGACGUAGCGAGGGAGCACGGGCAUGUUCAUGUUCUGCUGGUACGAGGGUGUGUUGAAGUCAAACGCCUGGAGGACUGGAUAAAUCAAGGCCUGCAGUUUUGGUCUGACAGGUAAAUCCUCAUCUUUGCUAAGCUGUGCGAAAAACAUAGGGCAGAAUUAAGGUCAUGAAGAAGAUAAACAUGUAUCGAUGUAGACCUUUAGGUUUUAGAGUGAAUUCUGCUCUUAUACAGAUAAUGUGGUAGUUUUGUCUUAAGUAUAUUCCUGAUCUUUUUCUCCUCUCAUAAGGUGGCCAUUCAGGCAGAUCCAGCAUCCUGUUCCCAACAGAAACCAGUGAGAUAAGUUCACUGAAGGUAGUAGGAAGAAAAGAAAAGUGCUAAGUGGCAUUUCUCUAACACAGUGCCCUGCUGAACAAGUGGCAACAGCAGGAUUUCCUGAAUUAAAGAAGCUACUCUUGCUUUUAAGAGCUUUUAAUGGAUUUUUCUUCCAUGAAUUGAUCUAAUUGUUUUUUUUCAGCCAAUGCAGAUUGCUGGCAUCCACAAUUUCUUCUAGCAAAGACUCACCUGGUGCAGAAGCACCUCCCCGUGUCUGACUUGACCUUUGAUUUAAGUCUACCAAUUACAAAUUUGGUGCCCCUUGACUGCCUUACUGGAAUAGUCAGCAAACUCUUUGUUUCAUCUCCUACACAAGAUACCCAGUGCCCUAUCGUGUCUCAUCUGGUUUAAAAAGAAUUAUGCAUCAGGAAAUUGAAUUAGGAAUGCUCUUUACAAAACGUGGCACUAUCAUGUUUAUCAGUCCUCAGUGUUGAAGUUUUUAUUGUAAUUGUCUCAUUAAUUUUUCCACCCUAAUUCAAUAUUGCAAGGUUGUCAUGAUAAUUAGUUGUCUGGACAUGGUAUCUGCUUUCUUAUCACUAAUGGUUAUGGAAAUAAGUUAGUAAUAAUAAUAUUUCAUUCAACCGUGAAAAAUAUUACUUGCCUUGGGUCUCCUUUAAACUCUUUACUAGAUCAAAUUCAGAUUACAUUUAAACUGCAGAUAUACAAAAGAAAUUUCCUUAAAAUUGCAAAAUGCUACAGGAAGACAAUUUAACAGAAGAAUUAAGUUCCACUUACUGUAUAUUUUGUCCUUCAUUUGUAUUUGAAAGAAAUAAAAGCAUAUUUCUAGAGACAAUUAUCUAAAAAUAGGCAGCCAUAUUAAGAAAUUAUGCCUACUUGGAAAAACAAGGAGUUCACCAGAAAAAUAGGUUAAAAAAGUCGUUUAGCUACUUGCUCUUAAACUGUGGUCCAUAACAACACUGAAACAACACAUCACAACCUAUGUGAUUCAUAUAGUGACUAAGUCACUUCAUAGAAGGAAAACUAACAGAUUCUGGCUUUCUACCAUUCUGUUUUCAGGAGUGGCACAUCACCACCUGUGAUGGUGCAGCACAAAGACCCUGCCAGCCUCUCUGGCCUGGACUGCAGUAGUGCAAUAAAGAAAACUCAGUGGAUGUUACCUGCUGGCACACAGCAGCUGCCAAAUUCCCUCCUGCACUGUCCCCAGAGAUUGCAAUUCGACUGGGGUCCACUGAAUACUCAGCCAAGACAUCAGGCUGCAGGAAAUGCCUUGUUGCACGAAGAGCAUCGUGGUACUGCUCAGGGAAGCACACCUUGGGCACCAGCCUGUAUCUGCAACAGGAAAGGGAUGAGAAACAAUUCUUACCUCUGCCUUAUGGUACUGGUGUUAUUGUAACUCUCCUUUAGGAUUUACAGGUGAUAUCAGAUAACUCUCACUGGAAAUAGGUUAUUUCAUUAAGAUAAAUGGUACAGAAGAGGUAGGAGGUGUGUGAUACGUAUGUAAGACUUAAUCUUAUAAUUAAUGUUCUAAUUUGGAAAAAUUAAAAUGAACCUACUAGACAGAAAUAAUAACAAUAUAUUAUAACAUUGUGCAGCACUUUCCUAGAAUUUACAAUGGAGGAUUUCAUCAUGCAUUAUAAAAAUCAAUAGUUAUGACACCCUUGGCAAGGGAGUUGUUACACCCUGCCUGGUUUUAAUCCAAAUUCCCACCUUAACAAGGAUGAGGGUGAGUAAAUCAUACACACCCAACACGCUCCUGUUUGGCUGAGCCAAACACCUAAGCACUUCUGCUUCCCAAAUUUUUACUGAUGUCAGGAGAGAAUAAACCUUGCUACCCCUCUGUGCCAUGAAAUGAACAAUAGCCAAGAAAUUAAGCAAUGCCAAUUUUCUCCAAUGCAACAGAUGCAAUAAUUCCUUUCCUGUAUCAAGGAGAGGAGCAGAAAUACACCCAUUGGCCAGGUGGGGGAUGGAGGCACAGAGAGCAAACAGUCUGCCAGGAAGAGCCAGCAGCUGAAUCCCAAACAUGAUGCUUCCUCAGCUUCUAAAUAACAGUGCAGGAGAAAUCUGUUUGUGUUUACUGAAUAAUCUGACAUCCAAGGGUUGUUACUGGGCCUUAUGGUACACAGCAAAGUUUUCAGCUUUUCAAACUACAGAUUUUACACCUUCUCAGUAGAGCGUAGCCAACCAAAAUUCAGUUCUCUGACUCAAAACAUCUUUAGAUUGUAAGCCGAAGAAGUUUCAUAUGCAGAAUAAAUUUUUAACUUCCUAUUACAACUUUCAAGCUCCAAUUGUGACCUGCUGUCAGAAAGCAAUCUGUAUCUUGUAUAUACAGGAAUCUGAGGGUGUCCUUUGGGAGCUCCUUGCAAAACAGCGUAACUGUAAACUGUGCAUAGAUUGUGAAAGUGAGAUGUGCAAUUAGACCAAUGAGGAAUCCAAUUAGACUUGGCUAAUUGAAUACACACCCCUUGAUUGAAGGAUGCAAUGAUUGAGGAAAAGAGGUAAUAGUAACUCAGAGCAAUAGACAGAAUGACACCAGCAUAAAUCAGAAAAGGAAUAAUAAGGAACUUUUCAAUAUUGUGAUUGCUGCUUGUCUGGAAUAACCAACAGCUGCUUUUGUGGUUUUCCUUGUUUCUAAUAAUAAAAAACCAAAACAGUAGGAAAACAUAAACCCAUCCCCCCAAUAGUUUAAAGUACACUAUAAUAAGCAUUAAAUAAGUAACAUCAACUCCAUAUAAUUAAGUUGCAAUUAGAUCCCAAAGCUUGGUAUGUAAUGAACUGCAGGUGGGAAACUUGAGUAAUUUUAUCAAGUGGUUGGGUUUAAAAAAGAAAAUAUUGAAGCUGACAAUAAAGAUGGGAACAGUACCAAUCAAGCUGGAGUCGUCUAGGUAAUGUAUUUAGCUAAUCAAGAGGUUUGUUUGCCUUGGAAUUGUUCAACAUGUUAAAAAAGCAGCCCUGCUUCUCUGUUGUCUGGCAGUCUUCUGCUCUUGAGGGAAGCACAAGGCUUAAAAGAUAGGACUGGAACAGUGGGAGAUUGCAAGAGCAGCAGGAAAUUGCCAGACCUCACAGUGUAUUCUAAAAUAAUUAGAAAACCAAAUGAAUUUUUGAUACCACUCCAAAUUGUUUUAAUUUUUAAAGGAUAAAGGUAUCAGGCUAGUAUAGAAAAUUACUGUCCAAGUUACAGCUUUAUAGAGAAGCCACUAUGGAAGGAGAAGCUAAAAGAACUAUGUUACAGUUUUCUAAUACCUUAAAACUACUUGAUCAGUUUUAGAUUACUCACUCAACAGAGACAACAACAGCAUUCAGAGAUUCAGCCAUGAUUCUGCAGAGAUUGUUGUAAAGGCUUGUUCCUGGAAAGGAAGGACAUGGUGUUAGGGACAUGUGAGUCAACAGUCACAAAGCUGUCAUUAAGCUUUCUCAGAAAAGAUACAGCUAUCACACAGAUAGAGUCCAUCAGAUUUUACUACCAAAGUAAAUGAUAAAUGAGAUCAGCCCAUAACUGUUCAAGUGCCAAAUCCAUACUACAGCAGAAGGAACGUAAUUCAUCAGAAUUUCAGAAUCCUGCAGUCCAAUGCCUUUCCUCAUCUGUUUGUUGGUGACUUCAGACAUGUCAUUUCACCCACCUAUCAAGAUUUUCUCAGUUGGCCAAAAUCUAAGGCACAUAGUGGUUUGGGGGCAUUUACAUCCAGAAAGGGUUACUGCUGUAUGAGUUACUGCCUGUGGUUCAUUUAUUAUAGCAUGCAUUGCUUUAAUUCGAAUGAGUUGCCCUAUUAAUGUCAGCUGAGCUACUCAUUUAAGGGAGGAUUAAUCACAGCUAUCCUAUUUAUCUGAGGACUGAUUAUCUUUAAUUUUGUUCCUCUCCAGUUACUUAAUUGUUGGUUCCCAGUACUAUAAAAUAUACAAGGACAUGAAACGUUUUCCAAAGUAUCCAGUCUUAGAAAUUAGUAUUUAGGUGUAGCAAUUGUGUCAUUAACUUCUGCACCUUGGACUCAGGGAUACGUCUAACAAAGCCAAGCUAUAAUCAUCCUGACAAAGUGCAGCAAUUUAAUAUAAACUUUUGCACAAGAGUCAUAUGCAAACUAUUACAGAACAAAUGAUGCAGGCAGGAGGUUAACAAAUAUCCUUUAGGCAGAUCUAAGAAAAUCCAUCUCAAAGCACGAUUCCUCUGUAGGAAGAGGAGUAAAAUGUUUAACUGCUACAGGACAAAGAGACUGGAAUUUCCAAAGGCAUGUGAAGGCCACAUUUUAAAGUUAUUUAGGAACCUAAAUAUCACUCAAAUAAUUUAGACUUGUACAUCUAGAGUCCAAAUGCAAUCAGUAUAGUCUGUGUUUUGCAUUAUUUUGUAAAAAUCCACUAAUUUUCUUUGUCUGUAGAGGAAGCUGCAGAAUCAGGGCUUUAUGGACUACAGGAUGUCCUGGGAACAAUAGGGAAGGAAAAGGGAGAAGACUUUUCUCAGAUCUGGAUCUCAGAGCAGCCACAGGAGCCACAAGCCCUUUGUGUCCCAAGGCUGUUUUCCUCCUGUAUAAUGUGGAAGCAAUCAGUGGUCACCUUAUCACUACCUAUAGCUAUACCUCACUUCCCCUGAUCAUGUUUGUGGUUCCCAAGUUAAUGGAGUAAACAGCAUUAAAUUUUAAGGUAAUUAUGCUAGUGAUGGUGGUAGUGCCUAAGGAACAACCCAAAGAGGAACAAACCUCUACCUGUUUUCCCUCACACUCCUCCUGCCUCUGGUCAGCAGUGUGUAUUCCCAGAUAGGUGUUAUUUAAGAACCAAACAUUAGCAAGGCUGUUGCAUGCAGUGCAGAUCAGCUCAGAGUUCUGCUAAUUAGUCUCUGAAAAUGGGGCAAACCCACGUAAUUUCCUUAUAUGUAGCCACCGGAACCUGAUCACCAAGAACUGAUUUUUGCACAUUACCUCAGAAAGUAGAGGACUGGCCUGAGCAGCCCACCCUGGCACCACAGAAAUUUAAUCAAUAAGCUAUUUUUCCCUCUUAUGAUGUAAAAAAAUUAACCUUUUGGUCCUUUUACAGCUCACAUGCAGAUAAGAUAUGCACUUCUGCUGUGUGUUCAUAAUAUUUUUCUCCCUCUCUCCUUAGACUUGAUCCACCAGAGUGGAGACAGUCACUACUGAAUUCAAGUACAUCUUAGCAAAACUGCCAUUCCUGGCAGGAAAAAGAGCUUGUGGCUUUUCCUGCUAGGAGAAAAGCAGACUGAAAUCCUAUUUAAUUACUGUCAGACACCUACUUGCACUUGCCAAGGCCCAGCCCCCUCCGUGGAUGUAAACAACGCUGCGCUUGAGGCUUUCAUCUCCCUUGGCAGGAGGUUCAAACACUCUCACUUCCACGCCAUCAAAAACAGCAUCCGUGAUUUUAAUGUCUUCAGAGGAGACAGACUUCAGCUUGUCAAAGGUGCAAAUCAAAUAAUUCAGAACUAUCAAGUGAUGGCUGAGUCUCAGGUAGUGAAUCAGGUGACACUAGUGGGGGGAAAAGAAGAAAAGAAAUUUCUGUUACUUCAGAGCAUAUCAUAUUCUACCACAUUGAUGUGUAAUACAACUGCAUUCAAAGGGCAGGUUCUACAUGAUUCUUACAAUAUUCACUGGAAAAUUUAAUUUUAUCAAUAACCUCUUAUGUUUUUAAAGCUGUAUUAAAACAAAAAGCUGCCCAUAGAAGAUUUUCUGUGGAAAAAUAAAAUUAAACUAUGAGCUCUUUAAGGGUCACAGUCAUGAACAAACGCUCAGAUCCUCUGAAAGACUCCUUGGAAGGGAAUAACGCUCAUGUUCCACUAGGGGACCUACAAAGUUCCUCAGACUGGUGCCAGCAGAGGGCAAUACUACACAGGCGAUGUUUUCUGGUGGAAAAGUAUCAAAAAUGCAGAUUAUUUCUCUUGUUCCACUGCAAAGCAAAAGUCUUUCUACUUCCAAAUUAAGUAAAGUUCCCUAGGCCUGCAAAGAAAUUUGGAAACAGGAAUAUUCUUAAAGGAAUAUAAUGGUGUUUUUUGGCUUGUCCUGUGUUUACCUGCAGAACUGGGAAGGAUUUGAAACACUAGGCAAGAACAACAGUAGGUUAAUGACACUUUUUACCAACCCAAGAGACUCAAGUGUGUUACUUUUUUACAUGAUUAAAACACUAUGAAAUUGAAAAAUGAUCUGAUCCUUCUGUCUCCUUAUGGUAGGAGACAGAAUUUAUCUCCUUUAGCUAUGCAGGAUGUUUUUAAUGUUUAUUUUUAAAAUUUUUCUCUGGCUCGAUUAGAAAUCUGUUUUUCUUAGCAAACACUACAGGGAUUCAAGGCACUCCUCAACUUUGAAAUGGUCAUGACCUGCUCCCCACACAUGACCUGCUCACUAUUUGUAGUGCAUACUUGUUCCCAUGCCCUGGAUGGUGCAGCAGGGGUGGCAAAAGGCCAGCCAAAGGACCACAGGGACUUCAGUGUCCAGAAUGACCUUUUAAAAGGAAAAGUAGAGGAGGUUUUUCCCCUUUGAGCUCAGAAACUGGACAACCAGCAAGGCCUUUUAUACAACUUUCUCAGAAAAGGCAAUGGAGUUGGGAGGCAAAAUGAACACAUAUAUUUAACCUGUAGGAACACUGCCACUAGGAAAACUGUCAGCUGGGACCUUUUAUUUUAUGUCCAGGUACCAAAUACUUGGAAGAAGGAGAGGUGUCCUGUUGUAUAGGGCUUUUCUACACAUGCCCACUGUGCAGUGUGAAUUCUGCCAGUCCCACUAGUGCAGUGUAACCUGCUACAAAGAAUUCAAGAUGCUGACACAGAGUGAGCAGGGUCACCCAGGUACUGGUCUAACCACAUUCACCUGCUGAAGAACAGAUAGCUGCCAGUUUAAUCUGUACAAAAUCUGCACACAACCCCCCUCCAGAACAAAAGCAAGCUUUGAAGCACUCAGCUUCCUCUCUUCCAAAGAAGAUCUUACAGCCACAAUCUCUUACAUGUAAUUUUUUUCUCUGUCCUAAUUAGUUUGAAUGUUAAAAAAGUUGAAGUAUUUGCUUUCAUCCAGGUUUGGUACAGGAAAGGCCCUGCACAGCUCCCACUGCAGACUGCUGUAGAAAAAAAGGACAAGUUUGAUGUUUAAAAAAAACCCCAAAAUUUACACCAAAUACAACGGGCUCUUAUGUGACCUGGGAGAGAAACACACUUCCAAAACAAGAAUUUUUUAAAAAUUACUUUAUUUUCUUGUUUUAACUUGUGGUAACAUCAACCUGCUGAGAUGGUUUGGUAAGAAUCCAAAUUUUAAACUGUUUGCUGCUUUUUGGAUGGGACAUAACUUCUUCUUACUGCAAGUCUUUUUUCUGGGAGAAGAAACACGAAAUAUCCACCUGGCAGGAGCAAAUGCUGAAUUAACAAGGCUACUUGCAUCUCUGAGUUUCAGCCCAUGUUUUUUUCCUACCAUUACUUAAAAUUCCCACAGGAAACCCCAGGACUAGUUUGAAAUCUGAAGAGCAAUACAUCUAUUAAUAAUCUGGCACACAACUUGUUUGGCUGCCACUGAUGUAACCACAUAAAGGUCUGAUCCUCUCUGUGCCCUAUGGAAGUUCCCAGGGGAGGUAACCACUGCAAAACAGUCUUAGAAAUACUGCUCAAGAAAAGAAUGUUUUGUAGAUUUUAUUUAGCCUGUGCUGCAAUAGACAUCUCGGUUUUGUUUUCUCCCACUUAAGUUUGCAUUCUCUGUAGACAAGAUUACCACAUGUUCCCUGGAGUCAGGAAUGUUUUGUUUUUAAGGCUAGUUAGGGGUAUUUACCAAGAAGUGUUUUGCCCUGCUCUUCAAAUCACAGAGCAGCCUGGCCAUCUGCAGCCUACCAUGCCCUUUCAUGUCUAUUUCUCCUAGAAUAGACCAUGCUUUCCAAGAACCCAGAAACCUGGAAGAGAUGCUUUCCACAUCAGCACCCAAAGGCAACAGUCCUAAUUAUUUAUCAGGCAUGGGCGGUUUUUCUGCCAAGCAUUUAUCAGAUAGAUUCUCUGUUAGUCAAUCUGCCUAAUCAGCCUAUUGGCUUGUUAUUUACAAGGCAUCCGGAUUGUGCUUUUUGCUGGCAAAGAGCCAGUCUUGUACAAAGUUCUCACAAAUAAAUUUCUUCUUUUCCUAUCUGUAAAUAUUAAAAAAAGACCUAUCAUAUCUUAGCAGUCUGUACUAAUACUCCUGGCAGAAGAUGUGGUUGGCCAACUCUCCUCUACGAGUACCUUGCCACUCAAAGGACAGCCCUGCCCAUCCUGAUGCCUGUUCUUCCCUGGCAUCUUUCUUGUGGUGCCCCUGGAAGCUUCAGAGCAUGAUCUUGCUGCACCAGUUAAAUACAAACCCAGCAGAGCCAGAGGAACACUAAACUUCAGUCAUGUCACCACCUAACUGAUACCCCAAGGCAAGAAAGAGGAUCAGGAGAAAGGAUACCAGCCCUUUUGGCAGCAGCUGGAUCACCUUGAAUCUAGGAUAAACCUGGAACAGCUCAUCUCAUGUGAGCAAUAGUGGGUUUGAUCUUUGUGGGUAGCUGUGGUUUUUACCACCCUCCCAGUUACAACCUGCAGGGCUGCUGCAGGUGAUCAAAUGUAACACUUCAAUAUAUUUGGGGAUUAUGUGUAUGUGUGGAUGUGGAGAGAGAAGAAAGAAGAGAAGAGAAGAGAAGAGAAGAGAAGAGAAGAGAAGAGAAGAGAAGAGAAGAGAAGAGAAGAGAAGAGAAGAGAAGAGAAGAGAAGAGAAGAGAAGAGAAGAGAAGAGAAGAGAGAAGAGAGAAGAGAGAAGAGAGAAGAGAGAAGAGAGAAGAGAGAAGAGAGAAGAGAGAAGAGAGAAGAGAAGAGAAGAGAAGAGAAGAGAAGAGAAGAGAAGAGAAGAGAAGAGAAGAGAAGAGAAGAGAAGAGAAGAGAAGAGAGAGAGAAA
Long non-coding RNA from Haemorhous mexicanus (house finch), 16701 nucleotides. RefSeq lists it as uncharacterized. The transcript is spliced from 9 exons. NCBI's taxonomy places the organism in Eukaryota, Metazoa, Chordata, Aves, Passeriformes, Fringillidae. The record is from RefSeq and is a predicted model, not a curated record.